This 320-nucleotide ribosomal RNA is filed under the name uncultured eukaryote. RNAcentral's name for it is "partial 18S ribosomal RNA". It matches the Rfam family "Eukaryotic small subunit ribosomal RNA", at positions 1470 to 1796 of the family's 1831-position model. The record is from RNAcentral.
CCCUUAGAUGUUCUGGGCUGCACGUGUGUUACAAUCGGGAGUACAACAAGAUUGCAAAUCCUAGUGGAUGAGUGGUUCUUCGAAAUUUUCUGAAGACUGGGAUAGUUGAUUGAAAUUAUUCAACUCGAACGAGGAAUUCCUUGUAAUUGUAAUUCAUUAUAUUGUAAUGAAUACGUCCCUGCCCUUUGUACACACCGCCCGUCGCUCCUACCGAUUGAACGAUCCGGUGAAUUAUUUGGAGUAGCUCUGGAAGUUGCAGAACUUCCUAUGUCACGAAAUUUUGUAAACCUUAUCGUUUAGAGGAAGGAAAAGUCGUAACA